UCCCUGGUGGCUCAGAUGGUAAAGAAUCUGCCUGCAAUGCAGAAGACCUGGGUUUGAUCCCUGGGUAGGGAA
Molecule: transfer RNA, 72 nt
Filed under: Bos taurus (domestic cattle)
Lineage: Eukaryota; Metazoa; Chordata; Mammalia; Artiodactyla; Bovidae
Also listed under: 6 other names
Rfam family: tRNA
About the family: Transfer RNA (tRNA) molecules are approximately 80 nucleotides in length.
Source: Rfam by way of RNAcentral